This 251-nucleotide ribosomal RNA is filed under the name uncultured Mycobacterium sp. RNAcentral's name for it is "partial 16S ribosomal RNA". It matches the Rfam family "Bacterial small subunit ribosomal RNA", at positions 526 to 776 of the family's 1533-position model. The record is from RNAcentral. Lineage: Bacteria; Bacillati; Actinomycetota; Actinomycetes; Mycobacteriales; Mycobacteriaceae.
CAGAGGGUGCGAGCGUUGUCCGGAAUUACUGGGCGUAAAGAGCUCGUAGGUGGUUUGUCGCGUUGUUCGUGAAAACUCACAGCUUAACUGUGGGCGUGCGAGCGAUACGGGCAGACUAGAGUACUGCAGGGGAGACUGGAAUUCCUGGUGUAGCGGUGGAAUGCGCAGAUAUCAGGAGGAACACCGGUGGCGAAGGCGGGUCUCUGGGCAGUAACUGACGCUGAGGAGCGAAAGCGUGGGGAGCGAACCGG